AAUUCAAUUUCACAACUCUUCACUCGUCCAAUAUUGAUUCCUCACGAGAGCACACACAACAGCUCGUCACCAUAAAUUCCUCCAUUGCGUAACUAGCACAUACGUGUCGAAGUUAUUUUUGACCCAAUCGAUUUUGAAAAUUAAGUAUCCAUAGUGACCUUUUUCAUCUAUUCAAUUGUUUUUCUCUCGCCCUUUUCACACAAAUUUUCACCCAAUCUUCCCCGUAUAAACCCUAAAUCUCCAUUGAAAUCGCGGCUGCCAGCAUCGGGACAUAGUGGGGGACGGAGAAACUUUCUCCAAUUCCAAUCAAUCACCGGUAAGCAAUUGCAAGGAACAAGAUGACCCUAACCGUUAUUAUACCUUCAUCUCUAUCGCCAUUCGAGGAAUCGGUCACUGGAAAUUGCAAGAAUUUGAGGGGCGUCUUGGUAAAAUUAGAAGAAGAGGGAGGAGAGCAGUUUUCAUCUACAAGGAUGGAAUGGGUUGGGAGAAUAAGAGAAAACCAGUGGGAAGAAAGGAGAGAGAAGAGAGGUUGCAGUCGAUUGUGCCUCGCCUGCACGAAGUGGCACUUGAUUGUUAAUCAAAAUUAUUGGAUCUAAAACACAGUCACUAGAAAUGCAAUUUUUAGAAUGGGUAAUGAAAAGCCAUCAAAAUAUGAGGAAAAGGGCUUCUACAAAUAAGCUAUUGUAUAUGCUCUCACCUAUAAUCGAGUCCUUGCACAUCAUUGUUGUCAUUCACCUAUCGUUUCAGCUGCCGUUGUCGCCUCCUCCAACAGCGUCGUCUCUAACUUUCAUUGGUGUCAUCUUCCACUAACCAUGCUGCGACUGCCGUCAUCUUUUCCGGUGUCUCACUCAAGUUCAAGUAAGUCGAAAUUCCUCUCCCUUUUCCUGGAACUUGUGUCCUCUCCUCCCUUCCCUUGGUAGCUCCAUAGGACUGUUGAUUCUUCCUCUUCCUCUAUAUUUCAUCGUUGUCUGAAAUUCUCAUUUACUCCCCAUCCUUGGCUCUGUCUACUCUUGUUCUUAUAAUUUACUGCUACAAGUUCUUUUAAUAAUGCAUAUAUAUGUGCGUUGUUUUAAUUUAAUAGAACAAUUAUAUAUAUAAAUAUAUAUACACCUAUGUGUGUGCGUAUAAUUUCAUGGUGCCAAGUGCGGCAUGAACGGGAGAUUCCUUUUUGAAAUUAAUUCUAUUAAUGGAAUGGAGUUUUAAUUCCUUCUAUGGGAAAAUAAUUCAUUGUAAGUAGUAAUGAAUUGUUGCUUAAUAAUAUGUUGUGGAAAUUAGCAAGAAAUGCAUCAAAUUAUGUUUUCAUUUAUGCAAGUUCCAAAUUUUUCUUGAAUCGUAACUUGUUUCUUGUUAUAUAAAGGUCCUCACUUGUAAGUAAGAUAAAUAAUGCAAAAUUAUAGUUUGAUUUUAAAUUACAAGUUUCAUUUCUUCUUGAUCAUGUAAAUAUUUUUUUACUUUGUCGAGAUUGGGUUUGUGUUCAGUCCACUUUGUCAUUUUGCAUAUUGAUUGAAGUCCGAUGAUGACCAUCAUACCUAGAGCACACAUAAUGGUUUAUGGAGGAAAGAACCUCUACAAAUACGUGUUUAAAACCUAAUGAAAUGGAAAGUCAUUCCUUUGUUUCUUUGGUGUGCAUUACUAGUAGGUUUUAUAGUCUGGAAUAGAAGGGAGACCUGUGAAAUAUUGAUUUUUUUAUUUGUUUUGAGGUAGGUAGGAAUUAUACUCUAGAUGGGGAUGAAUUUUAUAUGUUGGUUGAAAAUUAUUAGGUAAUUCAUUAAUGGUGAGUUUGUCAGGGGAUACUAUUCUUUAUGCUUAGGUUCAUAAGUUGGGGUUGUUGGCCUUUUUCUUCUUUUCUUUAUAGUUCUGAUUGGUUUAUGUUUGAUUAUGUACUUUUUGUAAUUCAAUAUUUCAGUCUUGUCAAUUUCAUAUGGAUUCAUAAGUUAUGCCCCUCCGGCUCAUCCUCACAUAGCGCUAGCAUUUCCAAUAUGAAGCCUUUAAACUGAUGUGUUUGAUUGGCUUCAAAGCCUAUGCAACUUUGUAAUUCAAGCAAACUAAACAAUAAGUUUAUGAUAGACACAAAUCUUUAAUUUCUAUUGUUGAUAUUCAACGUCAAAUGGAACAUGGUUAUUAAAAUAUGUACGGCCCUGCUACCAUGAUGGAACUCUAGAUUAUGAAUUGUCACUGGAAUGCUUGUGACGUAGUUCUUCAUGUUUUUAAACCAUCAAGAUUUAAAGAAAAAAAAAUGGAAGAAUUUGUCUUGUCACUAUUUUAAUCUCAGACAUUCUAUAUUUUGUUCUUUCUCUUCCUGCUAUUUGUUAUAUGGGCAAGAUUUCCCUGUUUUUCUAACAAUGACAAGUUGAGAACUAUUCAUGCAUAGUAUUUUUAUUUUUAUUUUUUUUGUCUAAAAAAUUCACAGGAAGCGAACUGCUUAGAUAAAUGGGAUAAGUUUAGCUUCCGUAGGUUCUUAGGAAACCAAUCAUAAUAAUUACAAUAGCCCAAACUACUUGAUGUGUAAAGCUAUUUAAAUACAAGGUCUCUUAUAAUACAAAGCUACAAACCAUUUCAGAAUAUGAUUCCCAAACUACGAGAACACAAUGUGUUCUUUUUUCAUUUAAUUUAUGCAUUUUUCCUAAAUUUACUUACCCUGCAUUAACUUUUUCUCGUUAGUUUCAACUUCAGACUCUAGAGUCAUGGAUUCACCUCAUUGUGUUUUAGCACAUAUUUAUGUUAGACAGAAAUUAAUUGACUGGUGCAACAUUUUGGGCACUAUAGAAUUAAGCUCUUAUAAUAACUUUAUUUUAGUUUUGUUUGAUCAGUUGUAGAUUACCUUAUUAUUUUCAAAUGUGACAAGAGAAAAUAUGGUGCAAAAAAAUACGUUUAAAAAAAUUAAUAUAUCAAAUGAAGGCCUUUUGAGAAAACAUGAACAAUCUCAAUUCGUGAUCAUAUUUGAAGGAUAUAUAUCAUGAUAUAAUGUUACUUAUCUUACAAUUGAAAUAUUUUUUCAAUAUGAUCCUCUAAACUAUUUUGAGAUGAUCUCAUUGACCAAUGUAAACAUAUCAUAAAGAAAUUUUGUAUUGCGUGACAAUAUUUCAUCUGGUAUUUUAUUUCUCAAGUAAGCUAGUUUAAAUGAUUUGCUGAGCUAAUUUUUAUAGUUGACCAUGUGAAUCAUUUAAUUCAAAGUUGCAUCAAUUAUGGUGGAUUCUUGCAUUGUAGGUGUUUUUAGUGAAUUUUAUACAACAUAUGGAAGUUAAAGGGGCUCACGUAUUAUUUUGUCUGUAUGAUAUUAUUUCUUUUUAUUUUAUUUAUAGACUUAUCCCCCACCCCCAAUUCACUUCCCCAAUUUUAACUCUCUUUAGUAACUAAUCUUUUUGUCUCUAGUUAUGGGUUCCAAUAAAGAGCCUUUCUUGCUAAAUCCUUCUAGCUUUGUCUUUUUGCAUAUUAGUGGUGCUUUGGUAUGGCACAUUUUUCAUGCUUGUGCAAUAUUUACUCACUUUUCAUGCAUUAUUUGGAUUACAGUAACUUGUAUAAAGUGAAAACAUUCCCAAAGUGUUGUGUCAAAGUAUCAUUGACUAUUUUGAGUUUGCCUUUGGGUGUGCAAGAGUGCAUUACUUGCUAUAUAUGUUUCACUUUAGUUAAAGAAAAUCCACUCCCUUUUCCUUCUCAUUUAAUUUGUUGUCUUUGAUAUAAUUUUAUCUAUCUAUGUAAUACUUGAUUCCAUUAGCACUUGAUUUACUUUACUUUCAGUUUAUUAUAUACCCAACUGUGGAUUAUUAUAAUGUCGAAGAAAUUGUACUUGAAAGGUCAAUCAAUCCCAAUCCAGGUGAAUAAAUUUGAGUUCAAAUUCAAAUUCUACUCUAAUAUGGUUCGUUUUAUAGUACAUAUACAUACAAAUAUGCAUUUUGAAUUCUACUAAAUUAUGUUGCAUGCUUGCUUAAUUAUUGAUGGAUAUGGAUGGAGUGAUUAUUUGUUUGUUGUGUUUUGUUUCAUUAUAUUUGUGUCUUAACGUUGUUUUUGGUAUGUAGUCUUCUUGUCUUUGUUUUUGUUGGCUUA
Molecule: long non-coding RNA, 4044 nt
Organism: Andrographis paniculata
Lineage: Eukaryota; Viridiplantae; Streptophyta; Magnoliopsida; Lamiales; Acanthaceae
Exons: 2
Source: RefSeq, a predicted model, not a curated record